UAUAUAUAUAUAUAUAUAUAUAUAUAUAUAAUCUUCUCACUAUCGGUAUCUAAUUUCACAGUGGUCCUGUUUCCGAUCAAGGCCAUCAACCGCAUGCAGUUGACUUAACUUGUGCUAAAAGAAAAUAAGAAAUGAAUCUAUCGUAUGUGAUUUGACUAAUGUUAAAAGGUUAAAUGUUUGCUUGAGAUUGCUUUUAAAAUGGUUAGAAGAGGUUUUUAAUAACCCAAACAUUUUUUACUACGUCUGUCAAAAAUUACAUAAGCACUUAUGAGUGGUAAAAAUAUAUUUUCAAGAAGCAUUUUAAUUUUUCAUCAAAGUCGCUACAUGUUUAUAAUAAACGCACUGCAUUCAAUGCUCUAUCAAUUCUCCAAUGAACCCAAAUUUCAUUGCUUCAUACACACACACACACUCUCGUGGUUUGACUUUCCAUCCUCCUCUUUUGUGUUCAGAGAUAAAAUUUUAAAGUACAGAAAUUGAAGCGGAGAUGGUUAAUUAAGUUAUAAGAGAUUACAUACACAUACAAAGAAAAAUUAAUUGAAUAAAUAAUUGAGUUCUUGAGAAGCUGCCAUGAAUACAAAAUUCAUACAAUUACAAACUUUUUGAGUAACAAAUAUAACUAAUCAAACACUGGUCACACUGAAGAUGAAACUAAAUACGAAGAAGUUGCUUGGGCUUCAACUUAUCAAGAUUCAAUAGGCAGCUAGUUGGCGAGAAGCUGCCAACCUCUUGUAAAUCUCCCAAACCAAUCUGCUGUCAACUAACUCGUCACCACAAGAAGCCACUGAAAUCUGGUCUUGGGGUUUUGCGAUCUUCUUCGCGGCAAUCCUUCCCACACCGCCGGCCUUGCCCGCCAUCCGAAUCAUCAUGUCAACGUAACCGUUAUGCAACUUAGCCAAAAGCUUUAUAGGGGAAACAAACUUCAGCAGCCUCAGCUUAGUUUUGAGCUUCCAACUACGUCUAGGACUCCCCUUAGCUCCACCGCCACCGAGCUUCGCCACCCUCAUCUUCUUCUUGGUGUCAGCAUUCAGCCUCUGAUACCUUCUCCUCCUCCAGUACCUCUUCAAGUUGUCGUAGUAAGUGGUCGAAACAAUCUCCAUUUUAAUUGAUUUCUAGUAGUACUAAUGUGUCUGCACUCAGUUUCUUAAGUUGUGUGUGUAGAAAUGACUUGAGAGAGGUGUGUCAAGAGAGGAAGUCAGAUGGGGUUUAUAUAGAGGAGGAGAAGAAUUUCGGUGCCAAGUCAAGGUGGCAGGCUAGGUCUUAUGGUUGAGCGCGGGAUAUAUCAAACAAUUAUGUGAAUAUAUUCAGUUUUGUAAAAUGAACUUGAUCAAUAUGUCUGACUGGGCAAGGGCUAAUCCUUUUUUGUUUGAAUAAUGAAUCGACAUAAUAUUAUAUUCGAAUUUGAUUACUAAUUCAGUCCCUGUUACAUAUGAUUGCUGUCAUCCAUUACAAAAACAAACAAAACAAAAGGGUAUAAAAUCAACAUCAACAAAUUCACACCACAUUCCGAUGGAAACGGCAUCAAUAUUAUAUAAAACAAUAAUAUUCUCUUCUCAAAUAAUUUUAUAUAAGCAAAAAACAAGAUUUGGCACAUAGAAAAAGACUUGGUAGCUGAAAGGCCAAAUAUAUUCCAGUUAGAAGCUCAUGAUCAACCCGCAAAAAGAGAGAUUUUUUAGUGUGAUUGGAAUAUGGAGUGAUACACUACGUGUUACUAAAUAAAUUGCGGGUAUGUGUAUUAAAAUGUUAAUAAUUUAAAAAUUAAAAUUUAUCACCACUUACAUAAAAACAAGUGAUGUAUCCCCCGUGUUCCCUUCCCAAUGAAAAAUUUCUCCCGCAUAAGAAGUGCGGCUCGACUUUCUCGUUAUCCAUAUUAAUUAUUAAAUAAUUCCGAUAUCCUUGUGCUCCUAUUGAAUGAUUCGUGAAGUAUAUAUAAUUGAUUUGUGCAAUUUGGUAGUAUUUAGACUAAAUUUGUAAAUCAUGUGAUGUGUCAUCAAUAAAAAAUAAGCACGUUAAUCAACAUUUAAGUAAUAAUUCAAUCAUUAACAACCACGUCAUAUGAUUUAUAAAAUUUGGUCUAAAUAAUUGAUCUCUCUAGCAUUACCUUUUCAAAUCAUUUAACCAUUAUCAGUAUAGGUUAUUUACAAUAAAACCAUAACAUUUUAGCCCUUGAUUACAUAAAUAGCUAUUUAACCCUAGCUUUCCUAAAAACUCUCAGGAGGUGUUUGUUGUACCGAACUGUCUCGGACUGGACUAGCUUCAGGAACUAAGCUGGACUGGCUUAGACUAGACUAAGCUGGACUAGCUUAAUGUAGUGUUUGGUGCAGUGUCGGACUAAGAAGCAGACUAAUUAAUAAAUUAUAAUAUUAUAUAUAUAUCUAUCAAUAUUUUAUGUAUCUAUUAAUAUUUUAUCUAUUUUAUUUUUAAUUUAUUUUUUUCUUUUUGGAUUCUCUUCCUUUUUUCUGGAAACAUCCACCAUUUUUCCACCAUUCUCCCUCGUUUUCUCCGGCACACCGUCUCCCUCUCAUCCCUCUUUUUUCUCCCCUUUUUCUCCCUGUUUUCUUCUUCAACGGAGGAAGCUGUGCAUUUUGCACCUAAUUUGGAUCAAAGACCAACAAGUCUUUCUUCUUGUUCCUCUAACUAGAGAUAGCUCUCUUUUUCACAAAAAUCCCAAAUCAAGGUAAUAGAUUUCUGGGUUUCUAGAGAAGAGCAUUGUGGAUUUCUGGAGGUCUUUCGUUUUUUGCCUACAAAUUUCUGGAGAAGUGCACAGCAACCCAAGGUAAUAGAUUUCUAGGUUUAUUGCAGAUUUUGAUAUUUUAUAUAUUUGGGAUUUAUAAGGUUUAAUCUUCGAAUUGAAGUGUUGUGUAUGGUGUGGAUUAAGCUUAUUCGAAGCUUAACUGAAUGAAUUCAUCUCUGAAGCAAACAGGGGGUUGGGUUCGCGGGACGGAAUGGGCAGAGCCAUUUCAGAUUUGGUGACUAGAGAAGAGGGCGGAAGGCAUGAUUUGGUAACUGGGUUCGCGGGAAGAAGGAGAUCCGGGAUGUAUGCUUGCAGACGACGUGGGCGCUAGAGACGAGAUUAGCAAUCCGCCAGUUUUUGGGGGGACCAGCUAAGAACAGCUAGUGAAGCUUUUAGUCGGUGCGAGUCCGACUUAAUCUCAUUAAAGGCAGUCUUUGUUUGCGCCAUACACGGGCUAGGACUCCUACCUAAGGCAGUCCAGUCCAGUGAGACUUAAAGAGGCCAAACAAACGUGCCCUCAAGUGACUAAUUAUAAAGACUAGGACUGCAAUAUUUUCUACCAAAUAGUAUAACUGAGUUCUAAAAUUUAUGGAAAAUGUGGUUUGACUCACAAGGCGUACAUAGUUUGAGAAGUUAAGGGCUCGUUUGAAAGUGUUUUUAAAAUGACUGAAAACGUUUUUAGAGCAAAUGUUUAUGGGUUACAAAAGUGCUUCCUGCGUACAAGAAGCACAUAACUGGUGUUUAAAGCACUACAAGUAUGCACUUGCAUUUUUACAAAAGAUUGUUUCUAAUAACAUCUCCACAAAAAGCACUUUCAUCCAUUUAAAAAACAGUUUCAAACGAGCUCUAAGUUUCAUUGCUUAGGCCGCCUCGGGAGUACAACGUUUUUUCAAAGAUGGCUUGCAGACUUUGUAUACACACUCAUUUUUAGUUUCAUGCACUUCCCUUGCGUGUUGUAAAAAAAUUCAGUUACCAAGUGUAGGUGGAUGAAAUAUGUAUGAGUGUUAAAUUAAACGCACAUACGUACCAAAAAUUCAACCAAUUUAUAUUGAGUUUCUUUAAAGGCUCCCAGAGUACAAAAACUUUACAAUUUCUGCAGACGUCCAAACUUUUGAUUAACAUUUAACAAAUAGAAUUAUCAAAAUGGUAACACUAAUUAAAAACGAAACUACAUAUCCAUCAAGUUGAAGAAGUUGCUUUGACUUUCAACUAUCAAUCCAUGAUCAGCCAAUUGGCGAGAAGCUGCCAAUCUCUUGUAAAUCUCCAAAACCAAUCUGCUGUCAACUAACUGAUCACCACAGGUAGCCACUGAAACCUGAUCUUGGGGUUUUGCAAUCUUCUUCGCGGAAAUCCUCCCAACGCCGCCGGCCUUUCCCGCCAUCCGAAUCAUCAGGUCCACGUAACCGUUAUGCAACUUUGUCAAAAGCUUCAUUGGUGAAACAAAUUUCAUCAGCCUCAGCUUGGUCUUGAGCUUCCAACUCCGUUUAGGACUAGUGCUCCCUUUAGCUCCUCCGCCGAGCCUUGUGACCCUCAUCUUCUUUCUGGGCUCACCAUUCAGCUUUUGGUACCUUCUUCUCCUCCAGCACCUCUUCAAGUUGUCGUAGUACGUAGUCGGAACAAUCUCCAUUUCAAUAAAAAAAAAGUAGGAAUAUAUAGCUCGCACUCGCAGUCGUGUUUGCCUCAAAUCUCAGCCGUAGCCCCUGAAACAGACGAACAAGUUGAGAACUGAUGGUUUUUGAGGUUUUGAGGUUUCAGAGAGUUGUUUGAAGAGAGGAAGUGAAGAGGGGUUUAUAUAUAGAGAGAUUAGAGAGGCGAGGAGGGGAAGAAUUGGGUGGCAAGUCAAAACAUGAGGGCUUGGUCGUACUAGGGUUUCUCCAGGAAAUGAGGGCUUUGUAGGGCAGUGUGCUUGGUCAAUAUUGUCUGUCUGCGUGUGUGUGGCCACUUACCAGGCAAAUGCUAAUCUUAUGCAAUUGAAUAAUUAAUUAGGUUUGAUUAAGUUAAAUAUGCUUUUAAUAUUUUGGGUCAAAAUAUGCUUUUAAUUGAUGAAUCGGUUACUAAAUCCAAUGCGUGGCAUUCUUCAAAAAAAAAAAAAAAAAUCCAAUGCGUGGCAUAUUUAUAUAUUAUAUGGUUAAUUCGUCGAAUAUUCUCAUGCUUGAAUUGGUUAACAAGUCCAAUCGGUAUUGAUCCAUGGUCCAAUCUCUAAUUAAUGCUCUAACUCUGACUUAAACAGAACUCUUCCGUACAUACCAACUAAGGGUGCUUGCUUUGAAGUUAAGUGAUCAAUAUUAAAUGGUUCAAUAUAAAAUUAGAUAUUUAAAUGGUUUAUUUUUCAUUUUUCAUUUUUUCAAUGCCCAUUUUCCCUUUUCAAUUUCUGAAGAAAAUAUGGGUAUUGAUUUGACUAUAAUACAUAUGAGUACAAAAUAUUCUUGCAUUUGGAGCCUUUGAUAUAAUUCUAAGGGUUGGAUCUAACGGCUCUAAAUGACGAAUGUAAUACAUCAGUGUAUUAUAAAAAAAUUAAAAUAAUGAUACGAUUAAAUGUAAAUGAAAGCUUUAUUUUUCAUUUUCUGGCAAUGAGCACUUAAAAUUCUGAUCGUUGAUCCCGUUUGAUUAUUCAAUUUAAUGGUUAAAAAUAAAAUAAAAAUGUGCGCCGAUAGGUAAAAUUGCCUAAAAAUUACUUGUCCAAAUUAAAAUGUGAAGGGUAUUUCUCAAUUCCACAUCUUAUUAGAAGAUACGCUCACUAAACCAGUAUUGGGCCUACUGAAGAAGAAAAAAAGUGGCUGGCCCAUUGAUUAGAAAAAUCAGCAAUGCGCCAACACCAUGCGUCUGGACGCGAACACAUGCUUAUAAUAUAAGGAAAACUAAUGAAAAGUGAAUGGAAAUUUGAGUUUUAACAAUAAGGAUAAAAUAAAUAGUACCAUGAUUGACUUUUUAGUGUAAAAAUGUAGUUUUUCGU
RNAcentral lists this long non-coding RNA (5684 nucleotides) under Malus domestica (apple). RNAcentral's name for it is "long non-coding RNA (MDOM_LNC016033)". The record is from RNAcentral. Lineage: Eukaryota; Viridiplantae; Streptophyta; Magnoliopsida; Rosales; Rosaceae.